GGACAGUGAACACAGCUGCAAAGAUCAUCGGUGCCCCUCUCCCCUCCAUUCUGGACAUUUUCUUUGCACGAUACUGUUGGUUUUGC
Sinocyclocheilus grahami is the source of this 86-nucleotide long non-coding RNA. RefSeq lists it as uncharacterized. The record is from RefSeq and is a predicted model, not a curated record. The transcript has 3 exons. Lineage: Eukaryota; Metazoa; Chordata; Actinopteri; Cypriniformes; Cyprinidae.